AUAAACAAUAUGGAAUGAGAAGCCUGGAGCUCGGAGGUUCCAGGGGAGACACAGAUGCCUGGAUGGGACGAAGCAAGGAAAUGUUCGGCUGCCCUUGGAAGGGUUUGAUGUCAUCACACCAGGAGCUGGGAUGCUGGAUUGAUGGAGAGGGGCUGGGCUGAGGACCCCUGUGUAGGGAUUUGGCAAGCAAUGGCUUUUAUUCAUUCACUGUGUGACAGGCACUUCAUUAAGACAUAAGAGAAAGAGUCCAUAAAAUAUUAAGGGG
This is a long non-coding RNA of Bos indicus x Bos taurus (hybrid cattle), 265 nucleotides long. The record is from Ensembl. Lineage: Eukaryota; Metazoa; Chordata; Mammalia; Artiodactyla; Bovidae.